This 635-nucleotide unclassified non-coding RNA is filed under the name Hevea brasiliensis (rubber tree). Lineage: Eukaryota; Viridiplantae; Streptophyta; Magnoliopsida; Malpighiales; Euphorbiaceae. The record is from RNAcentral.
CGAGACUCCAAACAUGUGCUCUAGCAGUAAUUGAAUUUAGGAUGCCUAAGCAGCUUAGGCUAAGCUGUUAUCCUAAAUUCCUACAGACACUGCAGAUUUUGAAAUAAUAAUCAAAACAAAGUAGACUUACUUCACCCUAGUUUUGGGUGGCAAUGGCAAAGACCCCAUUUGGGGGGCUAAGCAUUGGGAAAUAUUUACAACAUUAACUAUCUAGCAAGGGAUUUCCAUUAGUUGCUAUAGCUCCCAGCAAAAAAUGCCAAAGGACCAACUAUGGCAGCAUUGAUAUAUGUUGCAGGCUCUGAGUGACUAUAGUCAGAUCGAUCAUCUGAGUACCCAUCAUUCUGGUUCGGGCCGCCGACGAUGGCUCCGAUUAAGAUGUUAGGAUUAGGGUUUGCUGAAUAGUAGAAGGGCUGGAAACCUCCAUCACAACCUAUAGCUUGUGGGUGUCUUGCUAGAGAUGGCAAUGAAGAUCCCCUGUGGUGAAUUCUCUUUGGAUAAUAUGGCCCAAAUCCUACCAUAUAUGACAUUUUUAUUGGGUUCACCCCAAGGAUGUAGUCCACCUGUCUUUUUGCUACAUAUAAGAUGGAAUUAGGGGUGACAAAGAGAUUGCCACAGUUGAAGGUGUGCUUUGUUGC